GACGAGGCACUACGGUGCUGAAGCAACAAAUGCCCUGCUUCCAGGAAAAGCCUCUAAGCAUCAGGUAACAUCAAAUCGUACCCCAAACCGACACAGGUGGUCAGGUAGAGAAUACCAAGGCGCUUGAGAGAACUCGGGUGAAGGAACUAGGCAAAAUGGUGCCGUAACUUCGGGAGAAGGCACGCUGACACGUAGGUGAAGUGAUUUACUCAUGGAGCUGAAGUCAGUCGAAGAUACCAGCUGGCUGCAACUGUUUAUUAAAAACACAGCACUGUGCAAACACGAAAGUGGACGUAUACGGUGUGACGCCUGCCCGGUGCCGGAAGGUUAAUUGAUGGGGUCAGCGCAAGCGAAGCUCCUGAUCGAAGCCCCGGUAAACGGCGGCCGUAACUAUAACGGUCCUAAGGUAGCGAAAUUCCUUGUCGGGUAAGUUCCGACCUGCACGAAUGGCGUAAUGAUGGCCAGGCUGUCUCCACCCGAGACUCAGUGAAAUUGAACUCGCUGUGAAGAUGCAGUGUACCCGCGGCAAGACGGAAAGACCCCGUGAACCUUUACUAUAGCUUGACACUGAACAUUGAGCCUUGAUGUGUAGGAUAGGUGGGAGGCUUUGAAGCGUGGACGCCAGUCUGCGUGGAGCCGACCUUGAAAUACCACCCUUUAAUGUUUGAUGUUCUAACGUGGACCCGUAAUCCCGGGUUGCGGACAGUGUCUGGUGGGUAGUUUGACUGGGGCGGUCUCCUCCUAAAGAGUAACGGAGGAGCACGAAGGUUGGCUAAUCCUGGUCGGACAUCAGGAGGUUAGUGCAAUGGCAUAAGCCAGCUUGACUGCGAGCGUGACGGCGCGAGCAGGUGCGAAAGCAGGUCAUAGUGAUCCGGUGGUUCUGAAUGGAAGGGCCAUCGCUCAACGGAUAAAAGGUACUCCGGGGAUAACAGGCUGAUACCGCCCAAGAGUUCAUAUCGACGGCGGUGUUUGGCACCUCGAUGUCGGCUCAUCACAUCCUGGGGCUGAAGUAGGUCCCAAGGGUAUGGCUGUUCGCCAUUUAAAGUGGUACGCGAGCUGGGUUUAGAACGUCGUGAGACAGUUCGGUCCCUAUCUGCCGUGGGCGCUGGAGAACUGAGGGGGGCUGCUCCUAGUACGAGAGGACCGGAGUGGACGCAUCACUGGUGUUCGGGUUGUCAUGCCAAUGGCACUGCCCGGUAGCUAAAUGCGGAAGAGAUAAGUGCUGAAAGCAUCUAAGCACGAAACUUGCCCCGAGAUGAGUUCUCCCUGAGACUUAGAGUCUCCUGAAGGAACGUUGAAGACGACGACGUUGAUAGGCCGGGUGUGUAAGCGCAGCGAUGCGUUGAGCUAACCGGUACUAAUGAACCGUGAGGCUUAACCUU
RNAcentral lists this ribosomal RNA (1382 nucleotides) under Salmonella enterica subsp. enterica serovar Newport str. RI_10P079. RNAcentral's name for it is "bacterial LSU rRNA". It matches the Rfam family "Bacterial large subunit ribosomal RNA", at positions 1568 to 2925 of the family's 2925-position model. The record is from RNAcentral. Lineage: Bacteria; Pseudomonadati; Pseudomonadota; Gammaproteobacteria; Enterobacterales; Enterobacteriaceae.